Molecule: non-coding RNA, 3647 nt
Organism: Arvicanthis niloticus (Nile rat)
Lineage: Eukaryota; Metazoa; Chordata; Mammalia; Rodentia; Muridae
Source: RefSeq, a predicted model, not a curated record
GCCUCGCCCCUCCCUCUCACAUUCCCAACUCCCAAGGACAACUUGUCGCUGGCUUCAGACGCCCGCCCUGCCGGAGGCUCCCUUCUGUCCCGGACUCUGCAGUUUCCUUUUGUCUAUUUGGCUAUUUUUGUACUUGACAAUUUCUUCGGGAACUAACUUGAAUCUACUUCUCUCUUAUUUGUUAUGCGCUCUCUCUCUCUCUCUCUCUCUCUCUCUCUCUCUCUCAGACACACACACACACACACACACACACACACACACACACACACUCUCUCUUCUUCCUCCUAGCCAUCUCUGAGUCUUCCAGCUGGCUCUAUCCUGUCCUUGGCACCUCCAGAUCCUACAGAUCCGACGGUGCCCGAGGUGUUGUAGGCUGGUAAGACUGCUCAGAGGGAAGGAGGCCCCGGGAUGAUCCACGCGGCCGUGCCCCGCACCCACCGGCGGCGCCACGGAGACGCAGGAUGCUCCAGAUCCUCCAAGUGCCGUCGGCGCCACCACACCAGACACGCGUAGUUCACGAAACCUCAAAGGGUGGAGGCGGUGGCCCGGGGCCGACUCUCCGGUGGCCCGCAAUUUGGUCCCAAGACACUUCAGGAUCCCGCAACCUAUGGAGAGGCUCGGAGGACGGCCUGGUUCCAAGAGAGGGCGCCAAAGGCGACGCGUUGGCGGCCGGCUGCAAGCCAACCAGGCCCAUUGCGCAGGAACCUGUCCCUUCACCCUGCAUUGGAAGCAGAGCUUCGGAGAGGAUCUGGCUGCGUGCGGAUUCAACGCCAGGGCGCCGCCUAGAGGACAAGAGGGGAUAUAAACUGUUUGAAGUUCAUCAGCACGGUGAAGUUUUAUUGUAUUUCCGGUUCCUAAGAUUUACACCCUGAAAAAGAAGCCGGCAGCCAGGCAGACUCCCUCCUUACCUCCGAGUUUCCACGCGGGAACUCAUAAGUGGCCAAGCGGACACUUGCCUUCGGGGAGCAGGGAGGGAGGGAACCAGGUCCAACCGACUCUCCCUCACCAGCUCAGUUCUACUUGGCUCCACUCUCCUGUCUACUCCCCUGUCUCAAGUCUGGGGUUGCCUUAGAGUUGGAAGGUUUGAUCUCUGAGAGCUUCCUGGGAGUCUGGGUAACCCUGGAGCCCAGGGACUGGCCAGAUGCCCACUCCGUUUGGUCUCCUUGAUGCCUCCUCCCAAAGGACUCAGUCACCUCCCACUGUCUCAGAUAUCCAUGAUGGCUAAGAGUUGGUAAGAAGAUUCCUCGGGUCCAGUGAGGCCACUGACCUCUGACAUCCUAUGACAGAUGUUAGAAGAUUUCGUUAUUUUCCAAUUAAGAUCCUUCCUUGGGGUUGUGGAAUUCCCCAGGUUUGAGUCCCAGUGUUCAGAAUGUGAUACCUCUUUGGAGAUUAUUUUGGACAAAGGGCAUGGGUUCUGGGAUCUUGUUUUUCCCUCCAGUGUCUAAUGGAACAAGUAUCUUUGAACCUUGCUGUAUCCCAGAGUAGGUCUGGAGUCUAACCUGGGGCUCAGAAGAAAUGUCUCUAGUGCUUGGGGACAGAGACUGGGGAAUCUAACAAUGUUGUAUGCACCAGUGUUUUGGCAUGACCUUCACAGUCACCUGAAGAUGAGGACGGCCACACUCAGUUGUCUCCUUUCCCUUCACACUUGUGUAAGAUACAAGUAAUAAUAUUUCCAUCCCUACCCCCUUCACUACCGUGAAAUAAGUAUCACACAGUGCAUGCUGUCCCUGCCGGUUGGGGGAAGAUACGAAGUAAAAAGAUUUCAUGGUUGGAUAACAAAAGUCACCAAAUUUCAUGACCUUUUCUGGGUCAGUUGGAGGUAUUUGCUUCAUCUCCCAUUAAAAUGUUCCAGCAGGAUGCUGUAAUUGAAUCCAGCCUUAAGUCACACACAUUUAUUUGACGCUGUAAUAUGAAUUUUGCUUGGAUACUAAGUUAAGAGGCAAGAUUUCAAGUGAGGCUUUUACAUCAAUUUUACAUUGUAUAGCCAAAAUUUAGACAUCAAUAUCGAGGUCUUUGUCUUUCCUAUAGGUGUAUUGAUUUUUUUAAAAAAAUAUGCACACCGGGUUUGGGGUUAUAUUUUUAAAAACAGGAACAGAAUCACUGUUAACAUACAUUAUUCACAGGGACUAUAUACAUAACCACAUAUGAACAAUUAGCUCUUAAUGCCUUUGCCCAGGCACAUUUAGUAUUACAGUUGGGAAGAUUAUUGCAUAUACUAUAAAUGUAUAGAAUAGAGCAUAUUUGAAUGCUAGGUUUCCUUUACAGACCUACUGGUUUGAAACAAACAUGCAAGACAAAUACAUCUGCUCAAAUCCAGCAGGUAUUAAUGUCAGCUUUAGCUUAUCAACUAAAAACAAACUAUUUUCUGUUUUCUCACAAUUUUCCAUGAUUUUUUUCUCUUGUACUCCCUUUUCAAUCCCUAGAUUUUCACUUCUUACAACAGAGACACCCUCACCCCACCCCCCACCAAAGACUCUCCCAAAGAACAGGCACUUACCCAGGCUGGUUGUGAUCAGCAUCAGCCCCUCUUCUUGGCUGCCCUGGGCCCCAGUGUGGCCCUGAGGCUUCACCUUCCUGUUUUUGUUUGUUUGUUUGUUUGUUUGUUGUUUUCAGGCUGCCCGCCACUAGCCCUAGCUGUGUUGAACCAAAGCUUUAGUGUAAGACAUGACAAGAGGGGAAUGUGGGAUUUUCUUUCUCUCUAGGACUGGAGGUGGACUGCAGAGUAGUUUUGCUCUCUGGACAGUGACCCCACUGUAAUGUUACUUUUGUCAAAUAUCUAUAGGCUUUGGGUCCCAGGGGCCACAAUUCUGUGUGCCCUGUUCUGGCAUGGUGGGUACCAUUGCUUAGGAAGGGGAGUAGAUUUGAGGGGUUCGUUCCUGGGAUCACCGAGCAUUUUAGAAAGGGGGCACCCACCUUGGUGACCUUUUUGUCCUUUGCCUCUGUUGAAGUUGAGCUCCAAUUUGAGGCAGCAAUCACUUCUAGAAAGCCUAGCAGCAAGGUUGAGACUCCUUGCUGCUACUGCUACUGCUGUAUCUUCCCCUGGAGGGGGGUGAAAUGGGGUAUAUACCCCAGGGACGAGGGGAAAAGUUCAUUCUCUUCUGUAAUCACCUCUUCAGAGAAGACAAGCCUCCCAAACCUGUCUCUUCCACAUUGUGUGCUCCCCCCCCCCCCGCCCCCAGCAUCUUGAGCAAAUACCAAAACUACUUUUUACUUAGAAAAGAGGCCUGGGUCUCCUCUUCACCCAUCAGUGAUUCCUUGAAAGAUUAAGAACAGCUCCCUGGGCAGUUACAACCCACAAAUAUGGAUUUAAAUGGAUUAUCUCCCUCUUACAGGGCACAAAUCAGGAGUCCAAAGGUUCUUCUUCUGACUCCUUCUCUAAACUAAAUGAGCCCCUUGACUUCUCUCUCCUUGUGAAGAGUCUGCAGCAAAGCCCAGGAGAGGACUGGGAGCCAGGGGGGCAGCAGGCACAACCCAGCGCUUACACAGCUUGGCUCUUAAAAACAGCCUUGCUCCAUCACUUUUCCAUAAAUAAAAAUGCCCUGGCCCACAGUUCACAUGUCCUUUUGGGCCCUAAUUUAUAUACUACAGAAAAUCAUAUACCCACCUUGACAUGCUUCAUAACGUUGUUAUUUAUGGAUGGGAAGGUU